AUACGGAGGGUGCGAGCGUUGUUCGGAAUUACUGGGCGUAAAGGGCGCGCAGGCGGCUUGAUAAGUCAGAUGUGAAAGCCCACGGCUCAACCGUGGAAGUGCAUCUGAAACUGUCUGGCUUGAGUACUGGAGAGGAAAGUGGAAUUCCUGGUGUAGAGGUGAAAUUCGUAGAUAUCAGGAGGAACACCGGUGGCGAAGGCGACUUUCUGGACAGAUACUGACGCUGAGGCGCGAAAGCGUGGGGAGCAAACAGGAUUAGAAACCCCGGUAGUCC
Molecule: ribosomal RNA, 274 nt
Filed under: uncultured bacterium
Lineage: Bacteria
Description: partial 16S ribosomal RNA
Rfam family: Bacterial small subunit ribosomal RNA
Source: RNAcentral